CUGGUGGAAGAAAAUUAGGGUUAUACGUUUCCCACCAAGCACCACGGCACCCUACCCCGGAAGUAAUUCUGGGCGUUGUAAUUAUCCGGUUUUCGCGACGUUGUAUACGCAGAUAUUGCCCGGGGCUAGACCACGAACCGUACUAUUAAAGGAUUCUUACCUACGAACUUCUGGGGGGUGGAACGCUUGCGUUUGGUGAGGCUGUUGGCCAGCCGAUCAAUGAAGGUUGGCCGCUCAGAGGAUGAGUGCAACAUGGAGUCUGGCACCAUCUCCAGAUCGCAUCCCUUUGUGAAGAGGGGGUAGAUGCUGGAAUCAUCCUGGUCCUGCACUCCCUCUGACCCAGCCCUCAACUCCCCCACAGGCCUGCCUACAGCCCUACCUGCUUGGCCAGCCAGAGCUUGGGCUUCAGUGCUGAGACUCUGUAGGUAGUUGUGGCACCGCUCUUUGUGCUCCUCCAGGGUACUCUGCUGUUUGUAGCUCCGGCCACAGUAGUUACACUUGUAGGGCUUGCCCACCGUGGGAGAGGAGACUGUGGAGGAGACAGGAGACGGAUGGCAUGAGUUACUUCUCCCUGUACCCUGGCUCUACAGAACCAUCCAGGAGCAAAGGCUCAUGGGCUUGAGGAGGAAGGGAUGUCGCUCAGAGUUUCAGUAUCCUUGUCAGCAAAACAGGGAUAAUGCCAUCUACCUUAGAGUCGUUAUGAGGAUCACAUGAAAAGACAAGCAAAAUGCUUUGUGGAUUAUAAAGCCUGAAUCAACGAUGACCUUUCUCCCUGUUUCUCUACUCACCUCCAAGGUAACUGACCCGAGUGUGUCCGGAGGUGGCCAGUGAGAGCAUCGCGCCGGCGGCAGGCGUAGUUACAGAAGGGACAUUUGAAAGGCUUCUCCCCAGAGUGAAGUUUGAUGUGGCGCAGCAGGUUCCCCUUCUGGGUGAAGGAGGCGCCACACUGGUUGCAGUGGAAGGGCCUUUCACCUGCAAGAGAAAGAACAGAUCUCUGAGGACUGCAUGUGAGGAAUUUUGAAGGCUGAACCUCUUCUGUCACCCUCUGCCCCACCCUGCCUAAGGGACGGUGCUCAGAACAAUUCCUGAGAGGCAGAGCUGUGGCACGCACAGGAAAUUCCUGCUUUCUAAAGAUUCCCUUGGGAAGAGCCUUACCCUGGGAAGGUGUGGAUCAGGAUGAAUGGCAGGGCAAAGGGCACCAGGCCUGGAACUCUGGGCCAAAAGAUCAUUAACCCAAAACCGAGCCUUAUAAGACCCACUCUGCCCCUGGAGCCCAAAGGCUGAGAAAGCUGAGAAGAGGCUUUUGUUUUCCUUUUC
Long non-coding RNA from Leopardus geoffroyi (Geoffroy's cat), 1317 nucleotides. RefSeq lists it as uncharacterized. NCBI's taxonomy places the organism in Eukaryota, Metazoa, Chordata, Mammalia, Carnivora, Felidae. The transcript is spliced from 5 exons. The record is from RefSeq and is a predicted model, not a curated record.